AUUGAACGCUGGCGGCAUGCCUUACACAUACAAGUCGAACGGUAACAGGUCUUCGGAUGCUGACGAGUGGCGAACGGGUGAGUAAUACAUCGGAACGUGCCCGAUCGUGGGGGAUAACGAAGCGAAAGCUUUGCUAAUACCGCAUAAGAUCUACGGAUGAAAGCAGGGGACCGCAAGGCCUUGCGCGAACGGAGCGGCCGGUGGCAGAUUAGGUAGUUGGUGGGAUAAAAGCUUACCAAGCCGACGAUCUGUAGCUGGUCUGAGAGGACGACCAGCCACACUGGGACUGAGACACGGCCCAGACUCCUACGGGAGGCAGCAGUGGGGAAUUUUGGACAAUGGGCGAAAGCCUGAUCCAGCCAUGCCGCGUGCAGGAUGAAGGCCUUCGGGUUGUAAACUGCUUUUGUACGGAACGAAAAGACUCUUUCUAAUAAAGAGGGUCCAUGACGGUACCGUAAGAAUAAGCACCGGCUAACUACGUGCCAGCCGCCGCAGUAA
RNAcentral lists this ribosomal RNA (498 nucleotides) under uncultured bacterium. RNAcentral describes it as "partial 16S ribosomal RNA". It matches the Rfam family "Bacterial small subunit ribosomal RNA", at positions 30 to 523 of the family's 1533-position model. The record is from RNAcentral.